Molecule: ribosomal RNA, 446 nt
Filed under: uncultured bacterium
Lineage: Bacteria
Description: bacterial SSU rRNA
Rfam family: Bacterial small subunit ribosomal RNA
Source: RNAcentral
CCCAGACUCCUACGGGAGGCAGCAGUGGGGAAUAUUGCACAAUGGGGGAAACCCUGAUGCAGCAACGCCGCGUGGGUGAAGAAGUAUUUCGGUAUGUAAAGCCCUAUCAGCAGGGAAGAGAAUGACGGUACCUGACUAAGAAGCCCCGGCUAACUACGUGCCAGCAGCCGCGGUAAUACGUAGGGGGCAAGCGUUAUCCGGAUUUACUGGGUGUAAAGGGAGCGUAGACGGUUGUGCAAGUCUGAAGUGAAAGCCCGCGGCUCAACUGCGGAACGGCUUUGGAAACUGUGUAACUGGAGUGCUGGAGAGGUAAGCGGAAUUCCUGGUGUAGCGGUGAAAUGCGUGGAGAUCAGGAGGAACACCAGUGGCGAAGGCGGCCUGCUGGACUGCAACUGACGUUGAGGCUCGAAGGCGUGGGGAGCAAACAGGAUUAGAUACCCCCGUAC